AGGCAGUGCACUGUUAGCUGGCUGCU
This 26-nucleotide microRNA is filed under the name Sphenodon punctatus (tuatara). Its description in RNAcentral is "Spt-Mir-34-P3b_5p (mature (guide))". The record is from RNAcentral. Lineage: Eukaryota; Metazoa; Chordata; Lepidosauria; Sphenodontia; Sphenodontidae.